This 313-nucleotide long non-coding RNA is filed under the name Androctonus crassicauda. The record is from RNAcentral. Lineage: Eukaryota; Metazoa; Arthropoda; Arachnida; Scorpiones; Buthidae.
GCAUAAUAAAAUAAUAAAUAGGACAGGUCAGAGUCAACCUCUUCACAGAGAUGGUCCAAACAGGAGAAAACACAGCUUAUAUAGGAGUUACCAAGAGAACCUUAGGACAAAGGUUAGACAAACAUAGGAAGGACAUAGAAAAGGGUAACACCAGUACAGCGCUCGCAGCAGAAGCCUAUGAUAAAGAAGUUAAAGUGCAUUGGGACAGAGCCAAAAUAAUAAAACCGCUGGUAAGGAAAUCACAGACCAUGUUGACAGAGGCUCUAGAAAUUUUGAAAGAGAAUAAUAAAAAAAGAACACUCAACGACGGCAC